Molecule: ribosomal RNA, 253 nt
Filed under: uncultured bacterium
Lineage: Bacteria
Description: partial 16S ribosomal RNA
Rfam family: Bacterial small subunit ribosomal RNA
Source: RNAcentral
GACAGAGGGUGCAAACGUUGUUCGGAAUUACUGGGCGUAAAGCGAGUGUAGGCGGCUAUGUAAGUCGGGCGUGAAAUCCCACGGCUCAACCGUGGAAGUGCACCCGAAACUGCGUAGCUAGAGUCCUGGAGAGGAAGGUGGAAUGCUUGGUGUAGAGGUGAAAUUCGUAGAUAUCAAGCGGAACACCGGUGGCGAAGGCGGCCUUCUGGACAGUGACUGACGCUGAGACGCGAAAGCGUGGGGAGCAAACAGG